Molecule: long non-coding RNA, 992 nt
Filed under: Dromaius novaehollandiae (emu)
Lineage: Eukaryota; Metazoa; Chordata; Aves; Casuariiformes; Dromaiidae
Description: lncRNA (ENSDNVG00000016259.1)
Source: RNAcentral
UUGGAAUCUGAAAAAACACAUCCAUCCCUGAGAGAUUUUUGUUUGUGUUUAACCAAGUUUGGAUGCGAUCGGACUGCUGAAUUUACCAGGUGUGAUACAUUCCCAGCGUCUCAUUUAUUGCUUCCCUACCCCCAGCAUCUAGUUGCCAGUUACUGCUAUGUGAAAACAUGCAGAUGAGUUUAUGAUUUAUAUUGCAGUUGCGUCUGGAAGUCCCACACAAUCAGUGAUCCUCCGAGCUGUGCACUGUAAAAAAGCCAGAAAGGAAAAUACCUUUGCCUCAAAGAGUUAACAACUCCAAACAGAUAAUUCUUGAGAGGGCAGAGAAGAGAGACAAAGAGUUACACUGAGCCACCAAUGGUUGAAUUGGGAGUGUUAUAAAGCUGUUAGAUAGACAGGCAGGUAGCUGCUGAAGAGGAGCACUUGAGAAGAACAGAGUAAAUCUCCAUACCAGGUACUCCAGAAGAAACUGGUUUAAAGGGACUAACAGAAUUGAAAUGACAGCCUGUCCUGGUGGAGCUGCUAUGUCCUUCGAGCACUGCAGUGUUCUUAUUCUGAUUCUGCUGGGUCAGUGCCUGCUCCAAUCAUAAGCCCAAGAAUGUAGCCUUCUGCAUCAUAAAUUUCUGAAUAUGCUGCUGGUAAGAAAACAACUCUGUUCAGUGCUUUUGGCUGGACUUAAAGGAUACAUCUACUGAGUGUAGCUGUUCCAAGGCCAUCCUGGAACUUCCCAACAGCAUCAUAGUGUGUGUCCUCUUCUGCCAACUYAGUCAGCCUGCAAGUUUCUUCAUCAGGAAAGUGAUUUCAGGGCUGUAAUUGCUCUGAUGUUACAGGAUGCACUUUCCCGUCAUGACGGCAUACAAGAGCACUGCUUUCCUUUCAACAUCAUCCUAACUGGAAGAGAACAGCUCUCUACCAAAAGCUGUCAUCUGCACAACAGUGUCUGCAGAAAGGGACCCUUUGCUUCAGCCACCUCCAUGCAAAACCUGUCUUCGUAG